Molecule: long non-coding RNA, 1199 nt
Filed under: Anser brachyrhynchus (Pink-footed goose)
Lineage: Eukaryota; Metazoa; Chordata; Aves; Anseriformes; Anatidae
Description: lncRNA (ENSABRG00000018067.1)
Source: RNAcentral
GCUUGCACGGGGUUUGCACGGUGUUUGCACGGGGCUUGCACCUGCUUUGCACGGGGGUUGCAUUGGGGUUUGCACGGGGCUUGCAUCUCCUUUGCACGGGGUUUGCAUCUCCUUUGCAUGGGGCUUGCACGGGGCUUGCAUCUCCUUUGCACGGGGCUUGCACGGGGCUUGCACGGUGUUUGCACGGGGCUUGCAUCUCCUUUGCACGGGGCUUGCACCUGCUUUGCACGGGGGUUGCAUUGGGGUUUGCACGGGGCUUGCAUCUCCUUUGCAUGGGGCUUGCACGGGGCUUGCAUGGGGGCUGCAUCUCCUUUGCACGGGGCUUGCACGAGGCUUGCACGGGGUUUGCACGGGGCUUGCAUGGGGGCUGCAUCUCCUUUGCACGGGGUUUGCACAGUGCUUGCACAGGGCUUGCAUCUCUUUUGCACGAGGCUUGUGUGGGGCUCGCACGGCGUUUGCAUGCCCUCGCUUGCAUCUCCUUUGCACGGGGUUUGCACAGGGCUUGCACCUUCUUUGCACGGCUCUUGCACCUGCUUUGCACGAGGCUUGCACAAGGUUUGCAGGAGGUGCACAGGGCUUGCACGGGGUUUGAACGGGGCUUGCAUCUCCUUUGCACGGGGUUUUCACAGGGCUUGCACCUGUUUGUGCAGAGUUUGCACGGGGCUUUCAUCUCCUUUGCAUGGGGCUUGCACAGGGCUUUGCACGGGGUUUGCACGGGGCUUUCAUCGGGCUUGCAAGCGCUUUGCACAGGGCUUGCACAAGGAGCUGUGCAGGGCUUGCACGAGGACUCACGUGUCCACAUGGGGCACUGCAGGGGGCGUGCACGGGGCCCCACAGGGCUUGCACGAGUGCUUGCACAAGUGCUUGCACAAGGGCUGCUGCUCCUCUGCUCCCUGGGGGGCACUUUGGGGGCUCCUGGGGGCAGUUUUGGGGCUGGGGGGGGCAGUCGGGGGUCCCGGGAGGAAGAGGCAUGUGUGCAAGGGCUGUGCACAGGUGUGCAAGGACUGCACAUGGGCGGGGCAUGCUCACACGAGGACCACGUCUUGCACGAGGACAUCUUGCACGAGGACCACAUCUUGCACGAGGACGCCUUGCAGAGCUCUCCUGGCACGAGGGCUGUCCCCCGUGCGUGCCCUCUUGCACACGCGUGUGGCAGGCGGAGCAGGCUCCCCACAGCCCCCCCCAGUCCCACCCCCCCC